UGGAAGGGAGCUUGCUCCCGGAAGUUAGCGGCGGACGGGUGAGUAACACGUGGGCAACCUGCCUGUAAGACUGGGAUAACUUCGGGAAACCGGAGCUAAUACCGGAUAAUUUCUUUCUUCUCAUGGAGGAAGGUUGAAAGAUGGCUUCGGCUAUCACUUACAGAUGGGCCCGCGGCGCAUUAGCUAGUUGGUGAGAUAACGGCUCACCAAGGCAACGAUGCGUAGCCGACCUGAGAGGGUGAUCGGCCACACUGGGACUGAGACACGGCCCAGACUCCUACGGGAGGCAGCAGUAGGGAAUCUUCCGCAAUGGACGAAAGUCUGACGGAGCAACGCCGCGUGAGUGAUGAAGGUUUUCGGAUCGUAAAACUCUGUUGUCAGGCAAGA
RNAcentral lists this ribosomal RNA (387 nucleotides) under Lederbergia lenta. RNAcentral describes it as "bacterial SSU rRNA". It matches the Rfam family "Bacterial small subunit ribosomal RNA", at positions 70 to 448 of the family's 1533-position model. Lineage: Bacteria; Bacillati; Bacillota; Bacilli; Caryophanales; Bacillaceae. The record is from RNAcentral.